UAAUGUACACAGGGGCGCUGUGAAACUGUUCCGGAGAGGUUUACCGCGGGAACAGGAUCUGCGGGACAGUUUCAAAACGGCUGAGAUGUAUGUGUUUUCAUACAGACCCUUUUAACUUGAUCCGGGUAAUGCCGGCGUAAGGAAAGGAGAAUUUCAUAAU
This 160-nucleotide non-coding RNA is filed under the name Clostridium sp. RNAcentral's name for it is "TPP sequence". It matches the Rfam family "TPP riboswitch aptamer (THI element)". From Rfam's summary of the family: Vitamin B(1) in its active form thiamin pyrophosphate (TPP) is an essential coenzyme that is synthesised by coupling of pyrimidine and thiazole moieties in bacteria. The previously detected thiamin-regulatory element, thi box was extended, resulting in a new, highly conserved RNA secondary structure, the THI element, which is widely distributed in eubacteria and also occurs in some archaea. The record is from RNAcentral. Lineage: Bacteria; Bacillati; Bacillota; Clostridia; Eubacteriales; Clostridiaceae.